Molecule: ribosomal RNA, 164 nt
Filed under: uncultured bacterium
Lineage: Bacteria
Description: partial 16S rRNA
Rfam family: Bacterial small subunit ribosomal RNA
Source: RNAcentral
UAGGGAAUCUUCCACAAUGGACGCAAGUCUGAUGGAGCAACGCCGCGUGAGUGAAGAAGGUCUUCGGAUCGUAAAACUCUGUUGUUAGAGAAGAACACGAGUGAGAGUAACUGUUCAUUCGAUGACGGUAUCUAACCAGCAAGUCACGGCUAACUACAUGCCUG